This 1994-nucleotide unclassified non-coding RNA is filed under the name Hevea brasiliensis (rubber tree). Lineage: Eukaryota; Viridiplantae; Streptophyta; Magnoliopsida; Malpighiales; Euphorbiaceae. The record is from RNAcentral.
UGGUCUCUGAAGUGGUUCAAUGAGCAUGUUAAAUCCUUAUAUUAAUCGUGUCUCAUUUAUGACCCAAAAACCCAAACCCAUUUGACAUUGCCAGGUCUACUCAUGGUCAAGGCAAGAAUCAGCAUCACUCAUUGGAAGUAUUUUACAUGCUCAUUGAACCACUUCAGAGACCACAAACAAACCAUUUUGCAGAACUAUGAUACGUCCAGAAAUAAAUUGCAUGUUCUCUCCAACAUUACAAGAGCACAAAGCCAUGAGAGUCAUGAUUCUCGCAAAAGAGAACAACAAAAUGUCAGAAAGUAUUGUUGUGAGAGUGCAAAAUGAUCUUACAGAGACACUCAAAGACCCAAUCCAACAGUGCGGCCAUCUCUUCGUCGAAGACCAGCAGUGUACUGCUUCUCUAAAUCCAUCUGGACUUCCUUCUGCUUCUCUGCCUGGAGACGACCAUUGCCAUCUUCGUUGUCGGUUUGCUCUACCUUCACAUCGCCCUUUACACCCAUGAGUUUGUUGAUACAAUUGGCCAUAGGUACCAAGGCAACCUCAGACUCAUGAGUUUGUUGAACUUUUCUUGUCUUUCACGAUCACCAAACAGUGCAGUGUCCCACCGGUGUCCAGACUCUUCUGAAGCUGUGCUCUUUUUGUUCCCCCAAAGCAGCUUCUUCUUCUGUUCAGUCGACAUAAAACCCACCCCAACGAGGUUCCUGUUAACUAAUUCAGCAGCUUUCAUUGCAGCAACCUUUGCUGCAUUUAGGUCAUUGGCACCCUCCGAGUUAUUCACAUGUGCCUCUCCUCCGAUGACUUUAGCAUCAACCCCAACUUGCUUUGAAGAUUGCUUUUCAUCACCAUCUUUAUUGUAAUCAGCAUCCCUUUCAGAGCUAAAUAACCUGGGCUUUUUAGCUAUAGACUCUUGUUUUUCACUCCCAAAAACAGGUUUAUCUUCAUUCUGCUCAUAUCUAUCCUUGUCCCUGUUAGCAUCCCAGUCAUCAUGUUUCUUCUUUUCCUUUUGACCGUUUAGAUCCUUUUGGUCAUCCUUAUAAGAAUCUCUAUAGCGAUGCACAUCAUGAUCCCUUCCAGAAUCAUUUCGACGAUCACUUUUGUAGUCUCCAGAACUCCUAUGAUAAUUCCUUUUCUCAUCCCAACCAUCUCUGUCCUGCCUGUGCCGGUCCCUAUCCUUAUCUUCAGAGGUUGUGAGUGUAUGUUUCCUACCAGAGCCAGCUCUGUCAGGAGAUGAAUCCUUAUCCCUAAAUUUCUGACGGUCUAGGGAAAAUGAGUCUCUCUCUUUAUCCUUACUUCUAUGCCCUGAACCAUCAUAUCUAUCACGGGAGUAUUUGUCUACAUUUCGCACAUAGUCUCUUGACCUACCACGUUCACUUUCUUCUCUUGUAUGAUCAGAGUGACCAGCACGCCUUGAUUCCAUACCGGAAUGGGAUGAUCCCUGGUAAUGUCUCUCUUCAUCAUCUGCACGCUUCUCAUGUCUGCUGUACUCAUCGUGCCUAGAAUAACCAUGGGAAUUCCUAGAGGAAUAUCGAUCAGAAUGUCGAUAUGAAUCUUUGCCAGACUGACUACGACCAGAAUCCCUAUAUUCUCUCUCAUCCUUCCUUCUAUGUUGAUGCUCAGAAGCUUUUGCAGGAUCUCCCCUUGAAGAGAAUGGACUAGUGCCACGUUCACUCUUAGGACUCCCUUCAGAUGAAGAUGAUCCAUCAGCAGGAGAUCGGCGACGGUACUUCCUAUUGGCUACAUGAUUUGAAGGUUUACGGAAUGCCGCUUUUGUCUCAACGUUGUCUGGGGUUGGAGAUUGCAUGUUGGAAUCCAUUAAGUCUAGCACCUGUAAGUGUUCUUUUUGGGGAUCCGAUGGCCGAGAGAGGAUUGGAUCAUACACUGCUAUUAGGGUUUGUAUUGAGUUAAUUUCCGGCUCUAUCCAAGUUUUCUGUGUUCGCUAGGUGAACCUUUUGGGCACUUUACGAGACCACCGAAAAUACGGAGCCUAGUGGUAA